This is a non-coding RNA of Schistosoma haematobium, 45 nucleotides long. NCBI's taxonomy places the organism in Eukaryota, Metazoa, Platyhelminthes, Trematoda, Strigeidida, Schistosomatidae. The record is from Rfam.
AUCCAGCUGAAGAAUCCCAAAUAGGUCGAAGCGCACGUCGUGGAU